GCUCUUGGCUGCAGACCACCGCUGAAGGCCCUUGGCUGCAGACCACCGCUGAAGGCCCUUGGCUGCAGACCACCGCUGAAGGCCCCGGGCUGAGAGGCGUCGCUGGAGGCCCCGGGCUGAGAGGCGUCGCUGGAGGCCCCGGGCUGAGAGGCGUCGCUGGAGGCCCCGGGCUGAGAGGCGUCGCUGGAGGCCCCGGGCUGAGAGGCGUCGCUGGAGGCCCCGGGCUGAGGGGCGUCGCUGGAGGCCCCGGGCUGAGGGGCGUCGCUAGAGGCUCCUGACUGGGGAGCGUCGCUGAAGGCUCCGGGCUGAGGAGCGUCGCUGGAGGCUCCUGACUGGGGAGCGUCGCUGGAGGCUCCUGACUGGGGAGCGUCGCUGGAGGCUCCUGACUGGGGAGCGUCGCUGGAGGCUCCGGGCUGAGGAGCGUCACUGGAGGCCUCCUGCGUGGAGCUGGGACCGGUCUCCCCGGACUGGGGAGACUUACAGGAGACUGGGUGCGCAGCGCAGGCACGGGGCACAUUGGGCCGUGGAGGUGAACCGGCGGUCUGGAGCUCAGGGCUGGCACACCCCGUCCUGGCUGAAUGGUCACUGUAGCCCGGCACGGGCGGAGCGCUGGCACAGGGCGAACUGGGCUGUGCUGGAGAGUGAGGGCUGCCGUGCGUAGAGCAGGCGCAGGGUAAGCUGGACCGAGGAGACGUACUGGUGGCCAGAUGCGCUGCGCCGGCGCACUUCUCCCUGGCUGCCGGCCAACUCUCGCCCGGCAACGCUGCGGAGCCCACACUGACCGCACCGGACUGUGCGUGCGUGUGGGCGAUACCAUGCGCAUUUCCGCAUAGCUCGGCGCUCUCCUCGUCACCCGCUCCCCACGGUAAGCACGGGGAGUUGGCUCAGGACUCCACCCUGACUCUGCCCAACUCCCCGUGUUGGGCAGAGUGCCUCUCGCACUUGCCUCUUGGCUUAUACAGCGCCUCAUAGUAGCGCCGCUCUGCCUUCGCUGCCUCCAGUUCCUCCUUCGGUCGACGAUACUCUCCAGCCUGCCUCCAGGGUCCUUUCCCGUCUAAAAUCUCCUCCCAUGUCCACGACUCCAAAUACUUCUCCUGCUCCUUACCCCGCUGUUUGGUCUUCUUUCGGUGGGUGGUUCUGUCAUAUAAUAAAAAGGGAAUUAUUUGUAUGCUUACUCAGCUGUGCUUCACAAGUAAUACAACAACGGAUCUAUUACCGGUGUGAUCAUAUAGCCAGGUUUUCUCCAGAUGUUACGCUUGGUAUUCAGGCCAAAGAGUUCCAUCUUCAUUUCAUCAGACCAGAGAAUGGUCUGAGAGUCCUUUAGGUGCCUUUUGGCUAACUCCAAGCGGGCUGUCAAGUGCCUUUUACUGAGGAGUGGCUUCCUUCUGGCCACUCUACCAUACAGGCCUGAUUGGUGGAGUGCUGCAAAGGUGGUUGUCUUACUGGAAGGUUCUCCCAUCCCCACAGAGGAACACUGGAGCUCUGUCAGAGUGACCAUCGGGUUCUUGGUCACCUCCAUGAUCAAGGCCCUUCUACCCCGAUUGCUCAGUUUUGCUGGCAGUCAGCUCUGGGAAGAGUCUUGGUGGUUCCAAACUUCUUCCAUUUAAGCAUGAUGGAAGCCACUGUGUUCUUGGGAACCUUCAAUACUUCAGAAAUGUUUUGCUAAACUUCCCCAGAUCUGUGCCUCGACACAAUCCAGUCUCGGAGCUCUACGGACAAUUUCCUCGACCUCAUGGCUUGGUUUUUGCCCUGACAAGCACCUUCAACUGUGUGACAUUCUAUAGACAGGUUUGUGCCUUUCCAAAUAAUGUCCAAUAAAUUGAAUUUAUCCCAGGUGGACUCCAAUCAAGUUCUCAAAACACCUCAAUGAUGAUCAAUGGACCUGAAUACUUGUGUAAAUUAGGUAUCUGUUUUUUAUUUUUAAUACAUUUGCAAACAUUCUAAAAACCUAUUUUUGCUUUGUCAUUAUGGGUAUUGUGUGUAGAUUGAUGAGGAUUUUUUAUUUAUUUAAUCCAUUUUAGAAUAAGGCUGUAAUGUAACAAAAAUGUGUAAAAAGGGAAGGGGUCUGAAUACUUUCCAAAUGCACUGUAUAUCCUAUAAUUAAUUACAUUGUUUCCAAUUGGCCUAGUUAUCUCUCUCUCAUGUCAUUCAUGAGGUAAUCUCAGUGUAAACUAGUAUGUCAUGUCUACCCAUUUUGUAGAAUAAUUGAUGACAUCUUGACAUCUUUAUGAAUUCAUGAAUUUAUGCUGUACCCCUUAGGGCAGGGAUCAUCAACUAGAUUCAGCCGCGGGCCGAUCUUUUCUUGAGAGGAAGGUCGGGGGGCCGGAUCAUAAUUACAAAUCAUUUGUAGCCUGCAAAUUGAAUGCAAGAAGCACAAACAGAUAUAAUAUUUGACUAAAACGUAAUAAUUUGAAACCUUUGCAUAUGAUCACGUGUCUCUAUUAUAGGUGGAAAUACUUGGGAACAGAUUUCCCAAAUUAAAAUCACUUGGAGCUGAUUUCCUGUUUUUUUUACAGUUUAUGUGCAACAAUGGGAAAAAAUGUAUUUUUUUAUGGCUCAGAAAACUUGGGGGCGCAAAUAAAACAACCAGUUGGGGAACCCUGCCUUAGGAGGUUUUCUGAUCAGCUUACACCGCGUAAUUUUUAAGAGACAAAUGCCUGCUGUAGUUGAAAGAGGAAACUGAAGGUAUUUCAGGAUGUGAAAGGUUAUAGCUGACUGAGCACUCAGUGAGGUCUCACGUAAUGACUCAGGUCAUUUACCCUGUUCUAACUUUUUUUACCUUUAACUAGGUAAGUCAGUUAAGAACAAAUUCUUAUUUACAACGACGGCCUACCUUAAUGGACAGACAGACAACAAUUUUCUUUUCUCAAGUGUAUUUUCAAGUUUGUUGCAAUUUUUUGUGCAUUUAAACAAAUACAUUGAAAAACAAGCAUCUUGAAAACUGCUCUAGUCUGCCUCUAGUCAUUUCCCUCAUACAUUAAUGGAUGGCCUUGAGAUAUUCCUGCAUUAGCAGGAACUUGCAUUAGCAGGCACUUACAAAUCUACAUUUUGCUUUGUGUAUAUUCAGCAAACAUUUUGUAACAUUUUGUAACACCCACCAAAUCCUGUUCAACAUUCACUCCCUCAAAUUUCCCACCCCAAAAUACUUUCAGUUUCUCCUCUUUCUUCCUGAGAACAAUAUCUUUAAAUACAUCAAAAACUUUGAUACAGUUUUUUACUUGGACAACAUUGCAGUUGGCCAAGCCUAUAAUCUACUGUAAAACACAAUGACAGCACAUUGGGCUGUGGUCUGUCUACAAUAUCUGGAUCAUCUAAAGGAAAAUAAAAAGCAUGGAGUACUACAUAAGGCAUCGCCUGGAAUAAUGUCCUAUCACUGAAGCCAUGACCCAAUGGAGAUCCUUGCUAUUUCUGGUCUCAGAAGAAGAGGUGACAGAAUGCUGGAAUGUGACCUACAGCUUCCUGAGGAGUGUGGACUGGGACUCUGCCAAUGCAGAGGGGAGAGAAAUGCUUCCCACUAGGCUGUCAAAUGUCCCUGGUGGUGUGACUAAUGUUAAGGUGUCUGUAUGAAGAGAUGCAUACUUCCUCCUGGGUUGUGAUUAAAGUAUGGGACUCGUGUUAAUGAGUGUUAGCGCUGUGACCAUUUUUUCUUUGUCUGAAGAAAGACAAUUCCCCUGUGCAACGCUCAAGAGACAUCUCUAGUUACGGUACCACCAUGGCAGUCAGGCCUAUUCUAUAUGUCAGUGGGUCAUCAUAACUAAUUAUCUGAAUACAGUGCAAUUGAGCGGACACCAUGACAAUCCAAACUCAAACCAUAUCCGUUCCAGAGCCACAACUCAUCACCAUCUUCCCUGUCUAUCUACUCUGACCUACCAGUCCGCACCUUCCCUGAGGUGCGUUGGAAAGGUGCAUCUUUGCUAUGGGUGUAUGCCGUGCGCCUACAGGGCUCUACUAUGGAGGCCUGUGUCUCUCUCACGUCAGGGCUAGGCACGGAGCAGAGGAGUCAUUUCCAUUUCCUCCCACUUGGCUAAUUACAGUCUGCCUGCUCUGCCAGCCAUUCUUCUUCCCUCUCAUGUCAUAACAGAAACCUGUGCAGUGGAAAACCCCUGAUUACCCUGCAUAGAUUAGAUAGAGGCGUUAAUACAGUAAGUCAAGCCUCGCAGGGUGGUAUAUGUUUUAACAGAGGGAGAAGCGUCGGGAGUUGAUGUUCAUCUUGGUGAGGCCAAGGUGUUUGAGGGGGGUGGAGAGGGCGAAGGCAGCCUUCAUGGGGAUGUCACAGAGCAGGAUAUGUCCCUUGAGUGUUCAGUCAGUGGGCUUGCCAGUUCUGGAUUGGAGUGGACUGGUGAUCCUUACUGUAU
This 4355-nucleotide long non-coding RNA is filed under the name Salmo salar (Atlantic salmon). Its description in RNAcentral is "lncRNA (ENSSSAG00000109268.1)". The record is from RNAcentral. Lineage: Eukaryota; Metazoa; Chordata; Actinopteri; Salmoniformes; Salmonidae.